AUGAGAGUGCUAGGGAACAAAAUAGAACAAAAAGGCCCUGGGGAGCUGCCGCUGUUGCUGCUUGUGUUGAGUCCAGAACCGCAGCCGGACGUGGGGCUAGAGGACGAGCAAAGGAUGCUGACCAGCUCUGGAGAUCCCAAGGAGGAGGAAGAAGAGGAGGAGGAGUUAGUGGAUCCUCUAAAAACAGUGAGAGAGCAAUGCAAGCAGCCGGAGAAAUGUGUAAAGGCUCGGGAGCGGCUAGAGCUGUGAUGAGCGUGUAUCCUCCAGGUCACAGACGGAGGAGGACCGCACAGAGUAGCUCUUGACUUCUUGCAUGCAAGAGACCACUGUGUGGCCCACAAACUGUUUAACAGCUUGAAAUAAGUGUGCAGAUUUGUUCACCCCAACCUUCAUCACCUGUGCAUUGGGAUAUUUCCUCAUGGUUUUGAACAUGAUGUUUACUUGUGUAACUAAGUUCAUGUGAAUCUCAAGGAUUUUGGCUUAGGCAAGUAAUUUCUGUGUAAUUAUCAGUGAUUUCAUCUUAAUAAAGUCCAGUGAUCAGCAAA
This is a non-coding RNA of Odocoileus virginianus texanus, 545 nucleotides long. NCBI's taxonomy places the organism in Eukaryota, Metazoa, Chordata, Mammalia, Artiodactyla, Cervidae. The record is from RefSeq and is a predicted model, not a curated record.